RNAcentral lists this ribosomal RNA (292 nucleotides) under uncultured bacterium. RNAcentral's name for it is "partial 16S ribosomal RNA". It matches the Rfam family "Bacterial small subunit ribosomal RNA", at positions 775 to 1067 of the family's 1533-position model. The record is from RNAcentral.
GGAUUAGAUACCCUGGUAGUCCACGCUGUAAACGAUGGAUACUAGAUGUAUGAGGAAUCGACCCCUUUUGCAUCGUAGCUAACGCAUUAAGUAUCCCGCCUGGGGAGUACGGUCGCAAGAUUAAAACUCAAAGGAAUUGACGGGGGCCCGCACAAGCGGUGGAACAUGUGGUUUAAUUCGAUGCAACGCGCAGAACCUUACCUGGGUUUGACAUCCUUUGAUGGUCUUAGAGAUAAGACGUUCCCUCGGGACAGAGAGACAGGUGCUGCAUGGCUGUCGUCAGCUCGUGUUG